CAGCCUCAGACCGUGCACGAGCUUGCGUGGUCGGAAGGGAGAUGACACCCACCAGAGCCUACGCUGGCUCCUUGGUGGGUCUGUAAGUUAAAAACUCCCAGUGAGGGAGUGGUGCUUCUUCCUCCGGCUUCCGAGACAAUCCUUGCCAGGGCACCCACCACAGUGUGCAGAGCCCGUGAGGCCGGCGGGGCCUGGGUUCUGGAAGGUUGCUCCAGCUGUCUGGCGUGUCUGCUCCCGGACACUGGCUGCAUUUCACCACUGACAAGGCCAAGAGACAAAAAGAGAGCAAUACCACAACUGUGUUUCCUUCAGACAGAUGGAGCAUACAAAGGACCCAGAUGGAUUUGUGGUGACUUGAGGACAGGGUUUCAG
This 372-nucleotide long non-coding RNA is filed under the name Mustela putorius furo (domestic ferret). RNAcentral's name for it is "lncRNA (ENSMPUG00000028587.1)". The record is from RNAcentral. Lineage: Eukaryota; Metazoa; Chordata; Mammalia; Carnivora; Mustelidae.